AGGUUGGUUUGACUGACAGAGUGAAUAUGGCUUCCAAGAGUCUCUACUUCUUGCUCGCUAUUGCCAUUAUGGCUACACCAAAUUCUGCGAUCAUUGAUUGCGACUUACCGCUGCCGAUCAAUGCGGACUUGUGCGGAAUCGUACCCGGCGUUGGUGGAAAAUCUGGCGGAAUAGUUUCAACAGCUGGAAAGGCUCUAGGUUCUCUUCCUGUACCCGGAGUGGGCGGAGUAUUACCGACCGGAAAAUAAAACUAUGUUUCUUUACAUCGCAAAUUUUUUAUAUAUCGCUACGUUGUUUAUCGUUGAAGCACAAUGGGAAUUCAUUGAAUAAAUUGUGAAAUUUUGAGCAAACGGAAA
This is a long non-coding RNA of Toxorhynchites rutilus septentrionalis, 356 nucleotides long. RefSeq lists it as uncharacterized. NCBI's taxonomy places the organism in Eukaryota, Metazoa, Arthropoda, Insecta, Diptera, Culicidae. The record is from RefSeq and is a predicted model, not a curated record. The transcript is spliced from 2 exons.